UUAUCCAAUGUUGAGGAAAAGAUCAAGAAAAUCUUGGCUGCUACUGGUGUUGAUAUCCCAAGCCUUGCAGCAGGAGGGAGUUCUCCAGCUACACUUCCCUUGCCUCUGGCUGCUUUUGUGAGCCUCACCAUAACCUAUAAAAUUGACAAAGCCUCAGAACGAUUUCUCAAUUUGGCUGGUCCAGCAUUGGAGUCACUUGCAGCUGGGUGCCCUUGGCCUUGCAUGCCAAUAGUGGCUUCGCUGUGGACCCAAAAGGCAAAGCGCUGGUUUGACUUCCUUGUGUUCUCUGCAUCUCGUACUGUCUUCCUC
This 309-nucleotide unclassified non-coding RNA is filed under the name Hevea brasiliensis (rubber tree). The record is from RNAcentral. Lineage: Eukaryota; Viridiplantae; Streptophyta; Magnoliopsida; Malpighiales; Euphorbiaceae.